Non-coding RNA from Diceros bicornis minor, 480 nucleotides. The record is from the annotation of a RefSeq genome assembly. NCBI's taxonomy places the organism in Eukaryota, Metazoa, Chordata, Mammalia, Perissodactyla, Rhinocerotidae.
CUUCAGCUGUGGGGCCACAGAAGGCAGGACUCAGUGAUGAUCUCUACCAUGGCCUGGCCCCCUGUCCUUCUCACCCUUGUUGCAUUCUCCACAGGAUCCUGGGCCCAGUCUGUGCUGACUCAGCCGCCCUCAGUGACAGGGACCCCAAGCCAGGGGGUCACCAUCUCCUGCACUGGAGGUGGUUAUUAUGUGUCAUGGUACCAACAGCUCCCAGGAACAGCCCCCAAACUCCUGAUAUAUGAGAAUAGCAAACGAGCCCCCGCGGUCCCUGACCGAUUCUCUGGCUCCAAGUCUGGCAAUUCAGCCUCCCUGACCAUCACUGGGCUGAAGUUUGAGGACGAUGCUGAUUAUUACUGCCAGUCCUACGACAGCAGUGCUGGUGCUUGCACAGUGCUCCAGGCCCAUGGGGAAGGCAGUGGGUUCCUGGCUGCGUCCUGGGAGGGCGUGUCCCUGAUCACCUUCCUCAGGGUGGAAGAGUAA